GGGAUUUUCAUUAACGGGACUUUUAUUUAAAGAGGCAGCACCCUGAGACAAGAGGCCUCUGUUUUAAACCUUAACCCCUGUCUUCAACUCCAGGUGUUUCUUGAGUCCUUAUUGCUGGUCAGUUCUUAGGGAACUGAAUUCAGUCUUCUGGAUCAUUCAGUCGGGUUCUCUGCUGGUCCAGUUUCACUGACGAGACAAAAACCUUCCUGCAAACAAAGAGCAAAGAAACAUUCCAGGCUGAUCCAGAACCCUCCCCCAGCAGGGUCACAUCACUGUCA
Long non-coding RNA from Girardinichthys multiradiatus, 278 nucleotides. RefSeq lists it as uncharacterized. The record is from RefSeq and is a predicted model, not a curated record. NCBI's taxonomy places the organism in Eukaryota, Metazoa, Chordata, Actinopteri, Cyprinodontiformes, Goodeidae. The transcript is spliced from 3 exons.